CUCCGCUUCAACCAUCCGACUUUAAUCCUAUAAUCCUAUGACUAACUUACUUCUCACAUCCCCCACCUACUUAUCUCUCUCGAAGCAAAUUGUCUCCAAUUUCAAGAACAAACUCUGUCUCCCCUGCUUCUUGCAACACACAAAGCCCCAGGAACCUACAAUUCCAUCCAUUUUCACCUUGCAGUCAGCCCAAUUUCCUUUCUUUUUCUUUUCUUUUUUCCUUUUAUUUUAUUCUGGAACCCAACGAUGGCGCAACAGAAAUC
Molecule: unclassified non-coding RNA, 263 nt
Filed under: Hevea brasiliensis (rubber tree)
Lineage: Eukaryota; Viridiplantae; Streptophyta; Magnoliopsida; Malpighiales; Euphorbiaceae
Source: RNAcentral